This 958-nucleotide long non-coding RNA is filed under the name Homo sapiens (human). Its description in RNAcentral is "non-protein coding MIR100HG:103". Lineage: Eukaryota; Metazoa; Chordata; Mammalia; Primates; Hominidae. The record is from RNAcentral.
GAGAGCUCUCAUUUUCCCCCCUUGCUCGGGAUGGUGCCACAGGAGGCUGUGCGGGCCCCGCUCCGCUUCGAAUGGAUAACCCUCCUUCCUCCACCUCACAAAAACUCACAAGCUGCAACCCUUCUGAUGUCCACUCCCACACAAACCAGCUUCAGGCCUUUUUCAAGUGGAUGCUGUGGGGCACCACCUCCUUGAGGACCAAGGCACUCCAGCUGCCAGGAAUUUGGCUGCUAACCUCACACAGCUGAGCCUUCCAUGAAAAUUGCUCUCUGCCAAAGAGAACUUCCUAGUCCAAGGUCAUGUCUACUCUCCAGAGAUGUGACUGGAGUGAUUUGCACCCGGAUGCCUAGACUCGCCAUCUGCUCAAAGACUGCUCAGAAAGCCCUCCCAUGCAUUCCCCUGCUGCAUACCAGCCCACUCUGCCUGCAGCUGCUGUCUGCAGGACUUCAUAUCUAUGCCACACUGUGUAAAAGCUGUGCUUCAAGAAAUCACAAAAACAUUUUCCUGCACCUACUACACAGCCUGAGUGCGGCAUAAGUUGACCUUGCUUGCUAAGAAAUGGGGCAAGAAAUGCUUUUUUGUGUGUGUCAUGUCUGUUUGUUUUUCAAUUAAGAGAGGAAAGCAUUAGGCAGAUGGAAUGUACAUGUGAGGAUGAGGAGACAGAAAACAAGUAGCCCUUUCCAUCAAGAUAGAGGGUUUUCUGGGGUUGCUGGCUAUUGAAUGUCACUCCUGAUUUCUCUUUCCAAGGCACUGUACCACCAGCCUACUGAGAUUGUGUGGGAGCUUUCAUGGGGGUUGUAUUUCACUGAUGAAAAUAAAUUUUUUGCAUAAUGUGAAUGUUUAUGUUUCUUUAUAGAAUAGACUUAGUUUAGCAAUAAGCUAAUAAUACUGACGUAACUCUAAUUCUCUGGGGAAAAAAUUUGCUCCCCCACCUUCCAUUCCUGCAACAUCAUCAAAG